ACGUGGCAAACGGCUCAGUAACACGUAGUCAACAUGCCCAGGGGACGUGGAUAACCUCGGGAAACUGAGGAUAAACCGCGAUAGGCCAUGAUUUCUGGAAUGGUUCAUGGCUGAAAUCUAUAUGGCCCCUGGAUUGGACUGCGGCCGAUCAGGCUGUUGGUGAGGUAAUGGCCCACCAAACCUGUAACCGGUACGGGCUCUGAGAGGAGGAGCCCGGAGAUGGGCACUGAGACAAGGGCCCAGGCCCUAUGGGGCGCAGCAGGCGCGAAAUCUCUGCAAUAGGCGAAAGCUUGACAGGGUUACUCUGAGUGGUUCCCGCUAAGGGGAUCUUUUGGCACCUUUAAAAAUGGUGCAGAAUAAGGGGUGGGCAAGUCUGGUGUCAGCCGCCGCGGUAAUACCAGCACCCCGAGUGGUCGGGACGAUUAUUGGGCCUAAAGCAUCCGUAGCCGGUACUGCAAGUCUUCCGUUAAAUCCACCUGCUUAACAGUUGGGCUGCGGGGGAUACUACAGCGCUAGGAGGCGGGAGAGGCAAGCGGUACUCAAUGGGUAGGGGUAAAAUCCGCUGAUCCAUUGAAGACCACCAGUGGCGAAGGCGGCUUGCCAGAACGCGCUCGACGGUGAGGGAUGAAAGCUGGGGGAGCAAACCGGAUUAGAUACCCGGGUAGUCCCAGCUGUAAACGAUGCAGACUCGGUGAUGGGCUGGCCUUGUGCCAGCCCAGUGCCGCAGGGAAGCCGUUAAGUCUGCCGCCUGGGGAGUACGGUCGCAAGACUGAAACUUAAAGGAAUUGGCGGGGGAGCACCACAAGGGGUGAAGCCUGCGGUUCAAUUGGAUUCAACGCCGGG
Molecule: ribosomal RNA, 843 nt
Filed under: uncultured archaeon
Lineage: Archaea
Description: bacterial SSU rRNA
Rfam family: Archaeal small subunit ribosomal RNA
Source: RNAcentral